Molecule: ribosomal RNA, 253 nt
Filed under: uncultured bacterium
Lineage: Bacteria
Description: partial 16S ribosomal RNA
Rfam family: Bacterial small subunit ribosomal RNA
Source: RNAcentral
UACGGAGGGUGCGAGCGUUAUCCGGAUUUACUGGGUUUAAAGGGUGUGUAGGCGGAUCUUUAAGUCAGUGGUGAAAUCUUCAGGCUCAACCUGGAAACUGCCAUUGAUACUAUUGAUCUUGAAUACUGUGGAGGUGAGCGGAAUGUGUCAUGUAGCGGUGAAAUGCAUAGAGAUGACACAGAACACCGAUUGCGAAGGCAGCUCACUACGCAGUGAUUGACGCUGAGGCACGAAAGCGUGGGGAUCAAACAGG